This 497-nucleotide ribosomal RNA is filed under the name uncultured bacterium. RNAcentral's name for it is "partial 16S ribosomal RNA". It matches the Rfam family "Bacterial small subunit ribosomal RNA", at positions 28 to 507 of the family's 1533-position model. The record is from RNAcentral.
GAUGAACGCUGGCGGCGUGCCUAAUACAUGCAAGUCGAGCGAACAGAUAAGGAGCUUGCUCCUUUGACGUUAGCGGCGGACGGGUGAGUAACACGUGGGUAACCUACCUAUAAGACUGGAAUAACUCCGGGAAACCGGGGCUAAUGCCGGAUAACAUUUAGAACCGCAUGGUUCUAAAGUGAAAGAUGGUUUUGCUAUCACUUAUAGAUGGACCCGCGCCGUAUUAGCUAGUUGGUAAGGUAACGGCUUACCAAGGCAACGAUACGUAGCCGACCUGAGAGGGUGAUCGGCCACACUGGAACUGAGACACGGUCCAGACUCCUACGGGAGGCAGCAGUAGGGAAUCGUCCGCAAUGGGCGAAAGCCUGACGGAGCAACGCCGCGUGAGUGAUGAAGGUCUUCGGAUCGUAAAACUCUGUUAUUAGGGAAGAACAAAUGUGUAAGUAACUGUGCACGUCUUGACGGUACCUAAUCAGAAAGCCACGGCUAACUACGUG